GACGAACGCUGGCGGCGUGCUUAACACAUGCAAGUCGAACGGGCCUGUCUUCUUUUUUGGGGGUGGGUUGAGUGGCGAACGGGUGAGUAUCACGUGAGUAACCUGCCCUUCGGUCCUGGAUAACCGCUUGAAAGGGCGGCUAAUACGGGGUGGUCCGGUUGGUCCGCAUGGGCUGGUCGGGAUAGAUUCACUGUUUUUGGUGUUUCGGCGGGGGACGGGCUCGCGGCCUAUCAGCUUGUUGGUGGGGUGAUGGCCUACCAAGGCGGUGACGGGUAGCCGGCCUGAGAGGGUGGGCGGCCACACUGGGACUGAGAUACGGCCCAGACUCCUGCGGGAGGCAGCAGUGGGGGGUAUUGCACAAUGGGCGGAAGCCUGAUGCAGCGACGUCGCGUGAGGGAUGGAGGCCUUCGGGUUGUGAACCUCUGUUUCCGGUGGUGAAGGCCCUGUCCGUGUGGUGGGGUUGACGGUAGCCGGGGAUGAAGCGCCGGCUAACUACGUG
This 499-nucleotide ribosomal RNA is filed under the name uncultured bacterium. RNAcentral describes it as "partial 16S ribosomal RNA". It matches the Rfam family "Bacterial small subunit ribosomal RNA", at positions 28 to 507 of the family's 1533-position model. The record is from RNAcentral.